AGAAGGGCUUUUUUCCUAUUUUAUUUUCUGUUUUAGACAAGAUGUAUUUUAAAAUUGAAAGAAUUAAUUGGUUCAUUUUCUUUAAAGAAUGAAAAAUGAGCACAGGCUGCUAUGCUGCUCGGUUAGAAACAUCAGACUGUGGCUACUGACAACUCACUGAACCCUGGACUGUGGCAUCACAGCUGGCCACAGUGUAAUUCUUUGUGGAAGAUGGAGAUCUCUUACACACCAGUGAGGUUGCACUUCCCCUCCACCCAGUUGCUCCCGAGAUUCUCACACGUGAAUAACUGCCCCUAUGGUCUGACUGGGCCCGAAGCCACACCACCAAGCUGUGAUCUUGGCAAAACCCACAAGGUAAAUAAGGCUGGGCACAAAGUACAACUGGAUGGGAGGCAUGUGAGUGCUGAAGGAUGAGAUCCUGGUGAUUCCGACAGCAGCACAAGCUCAUCUGAAACAAUGCUCGGGAACAGUGCCCAAAGUAAGCUCUAGAGGUAAACACUACAUAGCAAGGGCUGUAUCCAUCUCCAGUUGAGGAGAUGUUUAAAAGGUUAAACACUUCAAGUUUCCUGGGCAAAUCCCAAUUAUCUUCAUUUUAUUUUGAGCUACUACAAAAAAACCCCCACCAAAAUCUAAACAUUUAUUGAUUUUUGUUUUCUCCUGUGCAGAUAGAGUGCUGUGAAGAUGCAACAAAGUGCUACCAUGCUCUUUUGCAAGACAGGAUGUGCUUCAUGGGUUCCAAAUCACCUCUAUAUUGGCUUUGUAAGAUCAGCUGAUUGCCUCAGAGCUAAAAAACACCAAGAAGAUGCCAAGCCAUAUUGUUAGGGCAAUUUUUUUUUGUUUAGUGUUGUGAAAUGGAACUAUCUGCAUGAGUACCAAUCAAUAAUCAAAGCCAACCAUGGCCAGAUGACAAAUCCCUCUGCUUCUGCAGGUCUAAAUGUCCAAUUACCAGUGCCAUUUGAAUUCUGGUUCAUUCUUAAGUUCUGAUCAAAGCUAACAUAGCUGGGAAGACAAUGCUUUCCACACUCCGCCUUCCCCCCUGCUCUGAAAUCAUCUGUCUCAAAGUCAGAAGUCUAAAUGGAGUGUAGGGCAAGUUCAAAGCAGGGAGGGUUGCUGGGAGUCUACUGCCAAUUCCACUCUGCAGUCACAGCUUGCUCCCACAGCUCCAUUAGCUGCCUGCAAUCAAGGGCAGACGACUCAGCCCUUGCUGUCCAGGUUUAAUAGGUUCAGCUAGUUAAUGAGCAAUGGCUAGAUUGCAUUCCAAGACUUCACAUCAUUCAUAAAGC
RNAcentral lists this long non-coding RNA (1283 nucleotides) under Ficedula albicollis (Collared flycatcher). RNAcentral describes it as "lncRNA (ENSFALG00000024074.1)". Lineage: Eukaryota; Metazoa; Chordata; Aves; Passeriformes; Muscicapidae. The record is from RNAcentral.